GACGAACGCUGGCGGCGUGCUUAACACAUGCAAGUCGAACGGAAAGGCCCUGCUUUUGUGGGGUGCUCGAGUGGCGAACGGGUGAGUAACACGUGAGUAACCUGCCCUUGACUUUGGGAUAACUUCAGGAAACUGGGGCUAAUACCGGAUAGGAGCUCCUGCUGCAUGGUGGGGGUUGGAAAGUUUCGGCGGUUGGGGAUGGACUCGCGGCUUAUCAGCAUGUUGGUGGGGUAGUGGCUUACCAAGGCUUUGACGGGUAGCCGGCCUGAGAGGGUGACCGGCCACAUUGGGACUGAGAUACGGCCCAGACUCCUACGGGAGGCAGCAGUGGUGAAUAUUGCACAAUGGGCGGAAGCCUGAUGCAGCAACGCCGCGUGCGGGAUGACGGCCUUCGGGUUGUAAACCGCUUUCGCCUGUGACGAAGCGUGAGUGACGGUAAUGGGUAAAGAAGCACCGGCUAACUACGUG
RNAcentral lists this ribosomal RNA (468 nucleotides) under uncultured bacterium. RNAcentral's name for it is "partial 16S ribosomal RNA". It matches the Rfam family "Bacterial small subunit ribosomal RNA", at positions 28 to 507 of the family's 1533-position model. The record is from RNAcentral.